CGGGAGGCUCCGAGGACUGCAAAAGGGUGGAGUCGGCCUCGCCCCCGCCCAGGCCCCGCCCCUGCCGGGAGCCCACUUUCCCAGUCCUGGGCGGCGGUCAGAUCCUUGCAAGCAUGGUCGCGCCGGGGCUUGUACUCGGGCUGGUGCUGCCAUUAAUCCUGUGGGCCGACAGAAGUGCAGGUAUUGGUUUUCGCUUUGCUUCAUACAUCAAUAAUGAUAUGGUGCUGCAGAAGGAGCCUGCUGGGGCAGUGAUAUGGGGCUUUGGUACACCUGGAGCCACAGUGACCGUGACCCUGCGCCAAAGUCAGGAAACCAUCAUGAAGAAAGUGACCAGUGUGAAAGCUCACUCUGAUACCUGGAUGGUGGUACUGGAUCCUAUGAAGCCUGGAGGACCUUUCGAAGUGAUGGCACAACAGACUUUGGAGAAAAUAAACUUCACCCUGAGAGUUCAUGAUGUCCUGUUUGGAGAUGUCUGGCUCUGUAGUGGGCAGAGUAACAUGCAGAUGACUGUGUUACAGGUAAUUUGCAGAGUCUCAGCAAUAAUACACAGUGUUGGUGAUGAAGAAGGAAAAGAAGGAGGAAUAAGGGGGCAACAAGGAGAAGCAGGGCUGUUUCUAUUUAGUGAGUACCAUGAGCUAAGAUAUGUUCUAAGUGCUAUGAAUGAAUUCAUUAAUUUGACUUAACAAUCUGAAGAGAUAAGCUACUGAUUAAAUUGGUAGUUAUUGAUUAGUGCUAAUGUAUUCUAUAUAGGUUAAGAACUUAGAAGGAGUAUCGUUUUCUCUAGCACUUUCUCCAAAACUGAGUUUCUUCUCAAGUUGAUUUUUAUUUUCUUGCUUUUUUUUUUUUUUUCUUUUUUGAGACGGAGUUUCUGUCUUGUUGCCCAGGCUGGGGUGCAAUGGUGCAAUCUCAGCUCACUGCAACCUCCACCUCCCGGGUUCAAGCGAUUCUCCUGCCUCAGCCUCCCAAGUAGCUGGGAUUACAGGCAUCUGCCACUAUGCCUGGCUAAUUUUUGUAUUUUUAGUACAGACGGGGUUUCGCCAUGUUGGCCAGGUUGGUCUCGAACUCCUGACCUCAGAUGAUGCACCCGCCUUGGCUUCCCAAAGUGCUGGGAUUACAGGUCUGAGCUACUGAGCCCAGCCUGUUUUCUUGCCUUUUAAUCAUUCCUUUGAGAAAUAUUAAAUUUGAGAUGUAAACCUGUAUAGAACUAGACCAUUACCUCAAUUCAUCUCUUUUUGAAAAAUUUAUGAAAUACAGUAUGUUCGUAUACUCUAUGAUUUAUUGUUUUGCUUCUGUUUCUUAGUUUUUUCUAUUUUUUUCUUUUUGUAGUCUUCUACUAAAUAAUGCUACUAAAAUGAUCUUACUCUGAACAUAUCUACUUCAUUUCAUCAUUAGUUUUCUGAUUUAGAAUUUAAAUUCUUGCAUUGAAGUCUUCCUUAUCAACAUUUUAUUUACUCUUACAUUCUGUCUUAUUUAUAUAUACGGAAGCCCCCCCCCGCCACCUUUUUUUUUUUUUUUUUAAAGAGAUAAAGUCCUUCUCUGUCACCCAGGCUGAAGUGCAGUGGUAUGAUCGUAGCUCACUGCAGCCUAGAACUCCUGGGCUCAAGGGAUCCUCCUGCCUCAGCCUCCUGGGUAGCUGGGAUUGCAGGUGUGAGCCACCAUAUCCAGCUGAUUUUUUAUUUUUUAUAGAGAUAGGGUCUUGCUAUGUUACCCAUGCUGGGCUUUUUGAAUUAAAAUGUUUAUUAAACUGAACUUUGGACUCUUUUAGCAUAAGAGAGUAGAAGCAGAAUCAAAGUUUUAUUUCUUGAUAGAAAGGAUGGUUUUGUAUAGAAGCAGAAUUGCUGUUAACUCAUUAAGGAAAACAGUAUUUUUCUUAAUGCUGUAAUUGCAGUUCCCUGUUUGCACAGAAAGGCAUGGACCAGAUCUGUUUGUAUCUAUAUAGUCGCUUUCUCAACAGCAGUCUAUGCCAGGGGAUUCCAUCCCAUUUUCUGUCAAGCUAAAUCAGAUUUUGAUUGUUAAGAGUAAACAUAUUUUCUCUGCCUAGAAUUUACCCCUGAGCAUCUUCUGUAUAAAGCUAGGUCUCUAAGCUCUGAGAUAUAGGGGAACAGAAAAAAAUUCCGUCUGAAACAUCCAAGUGUUAAUAUUUAUUUUUUAUUUUUGUUUAAAUCAUGCACUUAGUUUGCAAGAUAACAUUUUAGAUGCUGACAGUACCAAAAGCCAAGUUUCUAGUCUCUUAACAGUCUAUGGAACCUUGUUUUUUGAUUAAAAGAAUGUUCUACAUGG
Molecule: small RNA, 2280 nt
Filed under: Pan troglodytes (chimpanzee)
Lineage: Eukaryota; Metazoa; Chordata; Mammalia; Primates; Hominidae
Description: retained intron
Source: RNAcentral